RNAcentral lists this ribosomal RNA (669 nucleotides) under Hepatozoon ayorgbor. RNAcentral's name for it is "bacterial SSU rRNA". It matches the Rfam family "Eukaryotic small subunit ribosomal RNA", at positions 167 to 821 of the family's 1831-position model. The record is from RNAcentral. Lineage: Eukaryota; Apicomplexa; Hepatozoidae.
AUACAUGAGCAAAAUCUCAACUGUUUUAGAAGAGAAGCAUUUAUUAGAUAAAAAACCAGUAUAUGUUUUUAAAGCAUAAAAGUUGGUGAUUUAUAAUAACUAAGCAAAUCGCACAGUGUAAACUGGCGAUAAAUCAUUCAAGUUUCUGACCUAUCAGCUUUCGACGGUAAGGUAUUGGCUUACCGUGGCAGUGACGGUUAACGGGGAAUUAGGGUUCAAUUCCGGAGAGGGAGCCUGAGAAACGGCUACCACAUCUAAGGAAGGCAGCAGGCGCGCAAAUUACCCAAUUCUAACAGCAUAAGAGAGGUAGUGACAAGAAAUAACAGUACAAGGCAGUUAAAAUGCUUUGUAAUUGGAAUGAUAGAAAUUUAAAUACUUUUUAAAGUAUCAAUUGGAGGGCAAGUCUGGUGCCAGCAGCCGCGGUAAUUCCAGCUCCAAUAGCGUAUAUUAAAAUUGUUGCAGUUAAAAAGCUCGUAGUUGAAUUUUUGCUAAAAAUAACCGGUCUGCUUUUAUUAUUAAAAGUGGCAUCUUGGUGUGUUUUUAGCAAUAAUGUCCUUUGAAAUGUUUUUUACUUUAUUGUGAGAAGCAAUUUUCAGGAUUUUUACUUUGAGAAAAUUAGAGUGUUUCAAGCAGGCUAACGUUUUGAAUACUGCAGCAUGGAAUAAUAAG